This 252-nucleotide ribosomal RNA is filed under the name uncultured bacterium. RNAcentral's name for it is "partial 16S ribosomal RNA". It matches the Rfam family "Bacterial small subunit ribosomal RNA", at positions 524 to 776 of the family's 1533-position model. The record is from RNAcentral.
UACGGAGGGUGCGAGCGUUAAUCGGAAUUACUGGGCGUAAAGCGCAUGCAGGCGGCCUGUUAAGUCAGAUGUGAAAGCCCGGGGCUUAACCUCGGAAUUGCAUUUGAAACUGGCAGGCUAGAGUCUUGUAGAGGGGGUAGAAUUUCAGGUGUAGCGGUGAAAUGCGUAGAGAUCUGAAGGAAUACCAGUGGCGAAGGCGGCCCCCUGGACAAAGACUGACGCUCAGAUGCGAAAGCGUGGGGAGCAAACAGG